AUGAUUAAUCGGGUUGCACCUGCUUUCCUUAUACCUGUUUUAUUCUCUGUGUUCUGCAUAUUUAUUGGGAUUUUUUCAGCAAGGAAGAAUGAUCCAACAACUGGAGUCACGGGCUUAAGUUUGGAAAGCUUCAAAGAUAACUGGAGUUCAGAUUAUCAAUUUACCAAUGAUGCAGGAAUACCUGAUCCUGAAGGAAAGACUUACUGGAAUUUCAAUGCACUGGUUGGUUUGUUUUUCCCUGCUGUAACGGGAAUUAUGGCAGGCUCUAAUAGAUCAGCCUCACUCAAGGACACACAGCGUUCAAUUCCUGUUGGUACAUUGGCUGCAACUCUUACAACUACUGCAUUAUACCUGAUUUCUGUGUUAUUUUUUGGAGCACUUGCAACCAGAGACAAACUUUUAACUGACAGGUUACUUACAGCCACCAUUGCUUGGCCAUUCCCUGCAAUUGUAUAUAUUGGUAUUAUUCUUUCAACUUUAGGAGCAGCUCUUCAAAGCCUGACAGGUGCUCCACGCCUACUUGCGGCAAUAGCAAAUGAUGAUAUUCUGCCUGUU
RNAcentral lists this unclassified non-coding RNA (555 nucleotides) under Hevea brasiliensis (rubber tree). Lineage: Eukaryota; Viridiplantae; Streptophyta; Magnoliopsida; Malpighiales; Euphorbiaceae. The record is from RNAcentral.